This 495-nucleotide ribosomal RNA is filed under the name uncultured bacterium. Its description in RNAcentral is "partial 16S ribosomal RNA". It matches the Rfam family "Bacterial small subunit ribosomal RNA", at positions 28 to 507 of the family's 1533-position model. The record is from RNAcentral.
GACGAACGCUGGCGGCGUGCCUAAUACAUGCAAGUAGAACGCUGAAGGAGGAGCUUGCUUCUCUGGAUGAGUUGCGAACGGGUGAGUAACGCGUAGGUAACCUGCCUGGUAGCGGGGGACAACUAUUGGAAACGAUAGCUAAUACCGCAGAAGAGUAGAUGUUGCAUGACAUUUGCUUAAAAGGUGCAAUUGCAUCACUACCAGAUGGACCUGCGUUGUAUUAGCUAGUUGGUGAGGGAACGGCUCACCAAGGCGACGAUACAUAGCCGACCUGAGAGGGGGGUCGGCCCAACUGGGACUGAGACACGGCCCAGACUCCUUCGGGAGGCAGCAGUAGGGAAUCUUCGGCAAUGGACGGAAGUCUGACCGAGCAACGCCGCGUGAGUGAAGAAGGUUUUCGGAUCGUAAAGCUCUGUUGUAAGAGAAGAACGAGUGUGAGAGUGGAAAGUUCACGCUGUGACGGUAUCUUAACAGAAAGGGACGGCUAACUACGUG